This 692-nucleotide ribosomal RNA is filed under the name uncultured bacterium. RNAcentral's name for it is "bacterial SSU rRNA". It matches the Rfam family "Bacterial small subunit ribosomal RNA", at positions 613 to 1306 of the family's 1533-position model. The record is from RNAcentral.
CCUGGGAACUGCGUUNUGAACUGGGUGACUAGAGUGUGUCAGAGGGAGGUAGAAUUNCACGUGUAGCAGUGAAAUGCGUAGAGAUGUGGAGGAAUACCGAUGGCGAAGGCAGCCUCCUGGGAUAACACUGACGUUCAUGCCCGAAAGCGUGGGUAGCAAACAGGAUUAGAUACCCUGGUAGUCCACGCCCUAAACGAUGUCGAUUAGCUGUUGGGCAGCAUGACUGCUUAGUAGCGAAGCUAACGCGUGAAAUCGACCGCCUGGGGAGUACGGUCGCAAGAUUAAAACUCAAAGGAAUUGACGGGGACCCGCACAAGCGGUGGAUGAUGUGGAUUAAUUCGAUGCAACGCGAAGAACCUUACCUGGUCUUGACAUGUACGGAACCCUCCAGAGACGGAGGGGUGCCUUCGGGAGCCGUAACACAGGUGCUGCAUGGCUGUCGUCAGCUCGUGUCGUGAGAUGUUGGGUUANNNNNNNCAACGAGCGCAACCCUUGUCAUUAGUUGCCAUCAUUAAGUUGGGCACUCUAAUGAGACUGCCGGUGACAAGCCGGAGGAAGGUGGGGAUGACGUCAAGUCCUCAUGGCCCUUAUGACCAGGGCUUCACACGUCAUACAAUGGUCGGUACAGAGGGUAGCCAAGCCGCGAGGUGGAGCCAAUCUCACAAAACCGAUCGUAGUCCGGAUUGCACUCU